AUGGCCGCAGAGAAUAAAUUCUGCGGUUCCCCGACCCAGCCCCGUUCAAAGUCGCUAGAAUUUGUUCCCAGCAACUGGUCCACCCCUGUGUGGAACACCCCUGCUGGAUCACAGAAUGAAGACUUUUCUUCUUCAGUUGCCAAGUGGAAGACAUGACAAACGGUGCAACCUAACCUGCUGAGUGUGUCCAGAAUUUUCUGUCUUUUUCUGAGACCAAUUGAUAGCCACAAGUAUCGUUUGUGCUGGGAGUCACUAAUUUCUCACAAUUAAAAUCUCAAAGUUAAUUUUAUUAUUAAGAUACGUCACAAAAUACUACCCUGAGAUUCAUUUUCUUGCAUACACUUACAAAGUACAGUACAACAAAGAAGUACGAUAGAGUCAAUGCCAA
Mobula hypostoma (lesser devil ray) is the source of this 388-nucleotide long non-coding RNA. RefSeq lists it as uncharacterized. The transcript has 3 exons. The record is from RefSeq and is a predicted model, not a curated record. NCBI's taxonomy places the organism in Eukaryota, Metazoa, Chordata, Chondrichthyes, Myliobatiformes, Myliobatidae.